Molecule: ribosomal RNA, 274 nt
Filed under: uncultured Lactobacillus sp.
Lineage: Bacteria; Bacillati; Bacillota; Bacilli; Lactobacillales; Lactobacillaceae
Description: partial 16S ribosomal RNA
Rfam family: Bacterial small subunit ribosomal RNA
Source: RNAcentral
CGGCUUACCAAGGCGAUGAUGCAUAGCCGAGUUGAGAGACUGAUCGGCCACAUUGGGACUGAGACACGGCCCAAACUCCUACGGGAGGCAGCAGUAGGGAAUCUUCCACAAUGGACGCAAGUCUGAUGGAGCAACGCCGCGUGAGUGAAGAAGGUUUUCGGAUCGUAAAGCUCUGUUGUUGGUGAAGAAGGAUAGAGGUAGUAACUGGCCUUUAUUUGACGGUAAUCAACCAGAAAGUCACGGCUAACUACGUGCCAGCAGCCGCGGUAAAAUC